UUUGACUAAAAGUCUCAUUCUUGGGAUGAUGAGAGAUGAGAGGAAAGGAGGCUAGGGCAAGACAGUGAGAAAGAAAUUGGAAGAGAAGAAGAAAGAGAGUGUGAAAAGAAAGGGCUCAAGGAGAAGGAGAUUAGGGCAUACAAGGCAACAAGAUCCUCGGCAAUCGGUGCUGGACCUCAUCACAUUUGUGAGAAGGGCAUCCUUGCUAAAGAAAGUUUCUCCGAUCAUUCAUGAAUUUCAAGGGAGAUGAUGUCAACAUGAACCAUUAUUACUUGGAAGGCACACUGUACGUCCUACCUUAAUUGCCAUAUAUGUUAGGCCAGGGCCAGGUCCAGCAAAGCUCAAGGAAAAGCCAA
Dioscorea cayenensis subsp. rotundata (Guinea yam) is the source of this 356-nucleotide long non-coding RNA. RefSeq lists it as uncharacterized. The record is from RefSeq and is a predicted model, not a curated record. Lineage: Eukaryota; Viridiplantae; Streptophyta; Magnoliopsida; Dioscoreales; Dioscoreaceae. The transcript has 3 exons.